Molecule: transfer RNA, 71 nt
Filed under: Stegodyphus mimosarum
Lineage: Eukaryota; Metazoa; Arthropoda; Arachnida; Araneae; Eresidae
Rfam family: tRNA
About the family: Transfer RNA (tRNA) molecules are approximately 80 nucleotides in length. Their secondary structure includes four short double-helical elements and three loops (D, anti-codon, and T loops). Further hydrogen bonds mediate the characteristic L-shaped molecular structure. tRNAs have two regions of fundamental functional importance: the anti-codon, which is responsible for specific mRNA codon recognition, and the 3' end, to which the tRNAs corresponding amino acid is attached (by aminoacyl-tRNA synthetases). tRNAs cope with the degeneracy of the genetic code in two manners: having more than one tRNA (with a specific anti-codon) for a particular amino acid; and 'wobble' base-pairing, i.e. permitting non-standard base-pairing at the 3rd anti-codon position.
Source: Rfam by way of RNAcentral
GCCUUCGUGGUGUAACGGUAGCAUACACGGCGCAUAUUCGAGAGAUCCGAGUUCGAGUCCCGGUGAAAGCA